UACGUAGGAGGCAAGCGUUAUCCGGAUUUACUGGGCGUAAAGCGGGCGUAGGCGGCCUGUCCAGUCAGAUGUGAAAUCUCCCGGCUAAACUGGGAGGGGACAUUUGAUACUGAUGGGCUGGAGUGCAGCAGAGGGAAGCGGAAUUCCCGGUGUAGUGGUGAAAUGCGUAGAUAUCGGGAGGAACACUAGUGGCGAAGGCGGCUUUCUGGGCUGUUACUGACGCUGAGGUCCGAAGGCGUGGGGAGCAAACAGGAUUAGAUACCCGCGUA
Molecule: ribosomal RNA, 269 nt
Filed under: uncultured prokaryote
Description: partial 16S ribosomal RNA
Rfam family: Bacterial small subunit ribosomal RNA
Source: RNAcentral